RNAcentral lists this ribosomal RNA (431 nucleotides) under uncultured bacterium. RNAcentral describes it as "partial 16S ribosomal RNA". It matches the Rfam family "Bacterial small subunit ribosomal RNA", at positions 30 to 507 of the family's 1533-position model. The record is from RNAcentral.
CGAACGCUGGCGGCAUGCCUAACACAUGCAAGUCGAACGAGACCUUCGGGUCUAGUGGCGCACGGGUGCGUAACGCGUGGGAACCUGCCUUUAGGUUCGGAAUAACUCAGAGACAUUUGAGCUAAUACCGGAUGAUGUCUUCGGACCAAAGAUUUAUCGCCUUUAGAUGGGCCCGCGUUGGAUUAGCUAGUUGGUGGGGUAAAGGCCUACCAAGGCGACGAUCCAUAGCUGGUCUGAGAGGAUGAUCAGCCACACUGGGACUGAGACACGGCCCAGACUCCUACGGGAGGCAGCAGUGGGGAAUAUUGGACAAUGGGCGAAAGCCUGAUCCAGCAAUGCCGCGUGAGUGAUGAAGGCCUUAGGGUUGUAAAGCUCUUUUACCCGAGAUGAUAAUGACAGUAUCGGGAGAAUAAGCUCCGGCUAACUCCGUG